UGAAGGUGCUGCAUGGUUGUCGUCAGCUCGUGCCGUGAGGUGUCGGCUUAAGUGCCAUAACGAGCGCAACCCUUAUCGAUAGUUACCAUCAGGUUAUGCUGGGGACUCUGUCGAGACUGCCGUCGUAAGAUGUGAGGAAGGUGGGGAUGACGUCAAAUCAGCACGGCCCUUACGUCCGGGGCUACACACGUGUUACAAUGGGGGGUACAGAAGGCAGCUACACGGCGACGUGAUGCUAAUCCCGAAAGCCUCUCUCAGUUCGGAUUGGAGUCUGCAACCCGACUCCAUGAAGCUGGAUUCGCUAGUAAUCGCGCAUCAGCCACGGCGCGGUGAAUACGUUCCCGGGCCUUGUACACACCGCCCGUCAAGCCAUGAAAGCCGGGGGUACCUGAAGUGCGUAACCGCAAGGAGCGCCCUAGGGUAAAACUGGUGAUUGGGGCUAAGUCGUAACAAGGUAGCCGUACCGGAAGGUGCGGCUGGAUCACCUC
This 488-nucleotide ribosomal RNA is filed under the name uncultured bacterium. Its description in RNAcentral is "bacterial SSU rRNA". It matches the Rfam family "Bacterial small subunit ribosomal RNA", at positions 1033 to 1529 of the family's 1533-position model. The record is from RNAcentral.